Poecilia reticulata (guppy) is the source of this 649-nucleotide long non-coding RNA. RefSeq lists it as uncharacterized. The record is from RefSeq and is a predicted model, not a curated record. Lineage: Eukaryota; Metazoa; Chordata; Actinopteri; Cyprinodontiformes; Poeciliidae.
UUGAAAUGAACAAAGACUGAAUUUUACAAUUAAUCAAAUAUAAAAAUGACAAAAAGUGAUAUGCACUCAUGAUGCCUGCAAAAGUCCUAAUCCUCAACAAACCAUAAACUCUUCAAUGCACUUUUCAGUGCAUGCUUGUAAAGUAAAAGGAAGAACAUGGUUUUUACAAAUAUAAAUGUGAGUUUUGGGUGCUAUGCGUACUCGUUAACAAUGCCCCAAAACAAAAUCCAGUACAACCAAUUGAUUUCAGUGUAGAGCCGGCGUGUAUAUUAGCAUCAAUUCGAUUAUCUUGAGGGCUUACUCUUGAGGAGCUGCAGAAGUCCAUUGUUCAGACCGGCUGAACAGUACGUGGGGUGGAAAACUAUCACCCUGAAAGCAAUAUGCCUAAGGUGGAAAGUAGUGGUGGCAGACAAACAUUCUGUGAGGAUGUUUUUAUUCAUCAGAGGAAGGGGAGCAAGUCAGAAUGACGGUGUUGUCAUUAUGAUUACUAGUCGUGGUGUCAACAUCGUCAUCUAUCAACCAGUGGAAGGGAUCAGAAGAGAUGCGGAUUGAUUCCUUCUUCUUCUUGGAAAGAUAUCGACCAUCUGCGUUGAAGUCCCCCAAUAUCAUGAUGUUCUGGCAAGAACAAUAACAAUAAAAGUCAAAAUCA